This 309-nucleotide long non-coding RNA is filed under the name Homo sapiens (human). Its description in RNAcentral is "non-protein coding lnc-RNF152-9:1". The record is from RNAcentral. Lineage: Eukaryota; Metazoa; Chordata; Mammalia; Primates; Hominidae.
CUUUAUUAAUUAGGUGAACUGUGGAAGGUAAAGUCGUAACAAGACGGCCCUUGAAGAAAUGGUGGUGACAUCAUGAGCUGCAUGUCCCGUAACUCUGCGUGACUAGAACAUCAUGUCAUGAAAGGAUUUUUGAAUACUCAUUUUUAAAGAAAUGCAGUAUGAUAUAGCAUUUAAGUAAAAUAGUAAGUUUCUAUUGUAAAUGUUGUAAGUUAUUGUAAAUGUUUGUAAAAUAGUAAGUUUCUAUUGUAAAUGUUGUAAGUACAACUAUACUAACAGGAAUUGUUUGUAAAACGGUGAAUAGAGAAUCAC